Molecule: ribosomal RNA, 497 nt
Filed under: uncultured bacterium
Lineage: Bacteria
Description: partial 16S ribosomal RNA
Rfam family: Bacterial small subunit ribosomal RNA
Source: RNAcentral
GAUGAACGCUGGCGGCGUGCCUAAUACAUGCAAGUCGAGCGAACAGACGAGGAGCUUGCUCCUCUGACGUUAGCGGCGGACGGGUGAGUAACACGUGGAUAACCUACCUAUAAGACUGGGAUAACUUCGGGAAACCGGAGCUAAUACCGGAUAAUAUAUUGAACCGCAUGGUUCAAUAGUGAAAGACGGUUUUGCUGUCACUUAUAGAUGGAUCCGCGCCGCAUUAGCUAGUUGGUAAGGUAACGGCUUACCAAGGCAACCAUGCGUAGCCGACCUGAGAGGGUGAUCGGCCACACUAGAACUGAGACACGGUCCAGACUCCUACGGGAGGCAGCAGUAGGGAAUCUUCCGCAAUGGGCGAAAGCUUGACGGAGCAACGCCGCGUGAGUGAUGAAGGUCUUCGGAUCGUAAAACUCUGUUAUUAGGGAAGAACAAAUGUGUAAGUAACUAUGCACGUCUUGACGGUACCUAAUCAGAAAGCCACGGCUAACUACGUG